Long non-coding RNA from Numida meleagris (helmeted guineafowl), 1664 nucleotides. RefSeq lists it as uncharacterized. NCBI's taxonomy places the organism in Eukaryota, Metazoa, Chordata, Aves, Galliformes, Numididae. The transcript is spliced from 2 exons. The record is from RefSeq and is a predicted model, not a curated record.
GGGAGGGACCAGCAACUUAGACCAGAGCAGGGAAGAUUUCUGUGCUUCAGAAACACACACAUCUUUCCUAGCUAAAAGCUGCAAUGCCCUCUUUACCAGCGCUCCCCUCUGCAGAUGAGAUGAUUCACUCCCACCACCCUGCCAGCUCUGCUCACCUUUAUGCACUUGGCAUACUCCGCCAGCACCUGCUCCACCUGGUUUGCUUUCUUAGGCUCCUGAAAGAUCUGUCACAGACAGUGCAUCAGUUGCAGCAUCAGGAAGCAAGCAACAACAAAACAAAUCAUUUUACUCACGUGCCAUUAAAAAGCACACGGAACUAACACCAGGGAAGGGCAAGUUUACUGUAAGAAAAACCACACUUAACUGACAGCUUUCCCCUCUCCCCCUGGAAAAGCAGGGCAUACUUGGUACAGCACUUCUCAGCUGAAGGAGAAGGGAAGCAGCAGCUUCUCCUGCCCUCCAGCAUUCCCUUCCAGCUUAGGCUGCUUUGUCUGAUGCUACAAGAAGUCAGAAGUCAUCUGAGAGAUAAAAGGCUGGAAAGCACAAGCCCUUCUUCCAGAAAGAGGCGCAGCAUGAAGGAGAGACUCUCCAGCUGCAAGGUCUUGGAGGACAGUGAUUGGACCAAUUAAUUUGAAUCACCAGUUAAUUCUGUGUAGUAGUUCUUUAGCCCAGGAAAUAUAUUAGUUUCCUAUGCACAGAGUAAUAUUUCUUUACGUUAUUCCAGCAUACCUAAUGGGGUUAUAAACAACAAGUUACUGAAAGCCCUUGCAAUUAAUUGAGCUGGCUCUCAAUAGGUGCUGCACCUUGGCUUAAAUCACAAGUUAUUUUUCUGGUAAACAAGAAAUGCAACAUCUGUCUUUUCUGUGACAGUAAAGAACCUGUAGGACGCGUUCCCUUUUGGUUAGCAAGGAGUGCUGUGAGCAUUUUACCAGCCAGAGGCAGUCUCUUUCAGUAGAAAAGUAACUGGCAAUUACAAAUGUAAGCCAAAUCUAUUUAAUUCAUUAAACAGUAGCUAUUUAAUCCUCUGAUUUAAAUUAAUUUUUCCUCUGUAAUUUAAAUAGAAUCUCAGUGUGAUCUCACCACAGCCACCUCAGGAAAGACUUUAACCUUCCUCUUCUAUGAUAUGAUCUUGUGUGUAGGCAGCUGAAAGUCACACACCGCACUGCUACCAAAUUGCUUUGCUAACGCAUAUCCAAUUUGCUGGAGACUGCAAAGGCCAAACAAGAACAAAUCAGCUGAAAGGCAGAGCAAGCAGCAUGACUGUGGUGUGAGCCCUUGGAGGUGCCAGGCAGACCGUGAGGACUCCCACAGAACACACCUGAAAGACGCUUUGAAUGACAGCUGUGCAAACCCUUGGAGAAGCUGAAGCGUGGUGUUUCCACUACAAAAACCUACAGGCAGAUCCACCUGCCAGGAUGCCUGCACCAAGGCUGUGAAAUACUGGGACUGUGCUCUGCUAAUCCAUGAGGUCUUGGCACUGUUUCCCUAAGCAGCGUCCACACCUUACCUGAGCAGCAGGAAUGGCAUAUCGACUCCCAUAAUAGGGGCAGGCUUUGGUGUCCCUUCCCAAAGUCACCAACUGCUCGAUAUCCUUCACUUCCACUAGAACUUCAUCGCGAAGAAACUGCAUUUGCUCGUAGGAAUAAAAUGGGCACACAGUGCGA